UCUUUAGUGUUAAUGAAAUGAAACAAAUCCAGAUGUGAAGACUCUUUGCCUGACUCGUGUUUGUCGCAGUGAGCUCGAUUUGAGUUUUGUUGGUUUUAUUUCCGCUGGAAAGUUUUUCGGCCAUCACAUUUACGAGUUUACGACGAGCACCUGAAGGCAGCAUUGCUUCACCCUGGAAGAGUUCGGACAGAUCCCGGACCUCCUCCUGAAGACCUGGACCCAGACUGCAGAAUCCCUCUGAGCUGUUCUGACCUCUGACCUCUCAUCAUGACAUCCACGUCCGUCACCAAAAUCGGCAGAGUGGUGGUCGUCACUCAGGUCAUUCCUCAGGACGAAACCU
This is a long non-coding RNA of Morone saxatilis (striped sea-bass), 340 nucleotides long. RefSeq lists it as uncharacterized. The transcript is spliced from 2 exons. NCBI's taxonomy places the organism in Eukaryota, Metazoa, Chordata, Actinopteri, Moronidae. The record is from RefSeq and is a predicted model, not a curated record.